Molecule: ribosomal RNA, 206 nt
Filed under: uncultured bacterium
Lineage: Bacteria
Description: partial 16S ribosomal RNA
Rfam family: Bacterial small subunit ribosomal RNA
Source: RNAcentral
GCGCAGGCGGCUUGGUCGGUCUGAAGUGAAAGCCCGGGGCUCAACCCCGGAAUAGCUUUGGAUACUGCCAAACUUGAGUGCGUGAGAGGAGAGUGGAAUUCCUGGUGUAGCGGUGAAAUGCGUAGAUAUCAGGAGGAACACCAAUGGCGAAAGCAGCUCUCUGGCACGUUACUGACGCUGAGGCCCGGAAGCGUGGGGAGCGAACA